UAGGCAUCAAGCUUAGGUUACCUGGUAAAUAUACAGCUAUUUAGUAAUGUUAAUUAAUGGACUAAAGAAAAGACAAUGAUAUUUAUUACAGUGUUUUCUUUUUUCUUUUAUUUGUUUAACUUUUCUUUUAGGUUCAAGGGUACAUGUGCAAGUUCGUGACAUCGAUAAAUUGCAUGGCAUGGGGAUUUGGUGUGCAGAUAAUCUCAUCACCCAGGUCCCACUCCAGGUUUUGCCCAAAUCUUUCUGAUUGGUGGAACUUAAAUCACGCCCAAAAUCCCAGCUGCAGGAGAGCUCUGAGAUUUCAUCUUUCCAGCCUCUGUGUGCUACAUGGGGGUUGGAGCACUUGCUGACAAGCCCUGCAACCACCAUUGACAGGAUGUCCUACACCUUUUCAAUCUGAUUUGCUCUUUGCCAUGCAGACCUGUGGAUGAAGAGCCAGAGUCCUCCAAGGUAAAUGCUCCUGGCCAGUGGCCUGUUGUCUGUGUUAACUGAACAUCUCCAACGCCCUCGGAGUCCGCAACCACCAUGAAGUCACUUAUCAAGUCAUUUGACUUGGGAUGCCCAGGUAUUUGAUCACAGUUUUUCUAUAAGCAAAGCUCCAAAUUCAAACUUUGGCCCGACAUUUGAUAUGUCUACUAUCUCUACUCCACCCUGGCUCCAUGCUGGCUGUUAAAAUCACAAGGGCGCUUUCCGGGUCCUACCCGGUGCAGCCACUGCCUGCAGGAGCCUGGCUGAGGCUCCGGGGAGACACUAAUGGAGAGCCUGGCGUGUGAAUAACACAAAUGCAGCCUCUUCCUCUCUACCUCUUCCUUCCAUCCAGUUCCUGCCUUGCUACCUUUCUUUUCUGCCUCUUAUAGCCAUUAAAUUCAGGUCACUGCUAUUUGCCUUUUUGUCAUCUCAUGAGAAUUACAAGGGUCAGCUGGAGACUUCAUCUCCUAGGAAAUGAGGCAUCACAUCUGUGCACCUGGCCCUCUUGUAGGCACCCCUGGCCAUCCCCAUCUUGCAACCUGCUAGACGUUUUUCUGUCUGGUCUUGUACGUGAGCACCUGUGCUAAUCUGUCACUCCUGAUCUAGGUGUGUUCCCAGCUUUUCCUGGAAUUGUCUGAUGGUCUCACAAUUCCACUUUAGUCAUGUUUAUCUUCCUAUAUGAGAAUGAUGCAUAGCUAUACUUCAUACAUAUACUGUACACGUAAACAUAGCAAAUAGAAGAAACAGAAUGUGCAUCUGUCUACAGUAACAAUAUCUUUCUUCCCUGGACUGCAACAAACAUGCCAUUGUAUUGGGAGACUGUUGUAAAAGUUAAUCCUAGGAUGCACCUGGUUGUCUCUGCUAAAAUAAUUUGCAGCUAAAUUAGAUGAUUAGACUAUGCAUAUUGAAAGACAUGGAAGGGCUGGGUGCGGCGGCUUAUGCCUAUAAAUCCCAGCACUUUGGGAGGCCGAGGCGGGUGAAUCAUCUGAGGUCA
Long non-coding RNA from Papio anubis (olive baboon), 1462 nucleotides. NCBI's taxonomy places the organism in Eukaryota, Metazoa, Chordata, Mammalia, Primates, Cercopithecidae. The record is from Ensembl.